AUGUCCCCAGACAGCAGCCCCCCCUCCGGUCCCCGUGGUCCCUGCUCUGGGGAGCCCAGCACCCUGCCGUGGCCUUGGGGACACCGGGGACACCGAGCAGAGGCCGGACCCUGCCAGGCUGCCAGCCUCCGAGGAAGCCCCAAAUCCCUGUGGGCUCCCUGGGAAGCCACGGCCCCGAGGACGCUGGGGCAGGGCUGCCAGCCUCGGGGCUUCCACACGCUGCUGGGAACCCUGGGGAGCCGGCGCUUGUCCCGGCUCGCCCCAGACCACCCAAAAAACGGAGGGAAGGAGCCGCCUGACUCACGGCCGUGCUCUGGGAGCCGAAAUCUCCCGCCCAUCAGCAGCACUGACGUCGCUGCCGCAGCCCGUGCCCGCUGCCUUGGUGUGGGUCAGCGCCAGCAGCCUCGGGGCCAAAGCCCCAGGGCCAGGGCUGGGGCGGGAGGAGGAAGGGGGCAGGAAGCCCCCGGCCCCCUGUGCUGCAAACACUGGCACCAGGCAAAGCCCCGGCCAAGCCCUGGCCGUGCCCUUACACCCGUCCCGCAGGCAGGGAGCGGCUCAGAGCUGAGAGGGGCAGGUACGGGGGUCGGGGUGGCCGGGCCGUGCGCUGACCCCAGCCCCGGGGCAGGGGUCCCGGCCGGGGGCACGGCCGCAGGUCCUGGCGUCCCGCGGGAGCCAAGCCGCAGGCUGCAGCCCGGCUCCUGCGACUGCGUCCGCCGGGGGAGCGUCGCACAUCAGGACUCAAUUAAUGGCAGGAAUUGUUUUGUGAAAUACCAAACCCUUACGGCACUCACUGAUAUUAGGAACAUAUUUGAUUUGCAUUGCUGGUUGCUCUCUCUUUUUUUUUUUUUUUUUUUUUCCCUCCUCUCUCUCCCCUUUCCUUUCUUGUUGCUGCUCCGAGAGACUUGGCCAGGGUGGAGAAACCCCAACACAAAGCUGAAACAGAUGCUGGCGGUGGCCUGGUGCAGCCGGGGAGCUGGGGCCGAGCAGGGCACACUUCACCUGCUCCCCACCACGGGGACGCUGCCGCUGCUGCCAGCUCGGGCCAGUGCCCAUGCCGGGACGGAUGCUACCGGGGGGACACAGCUCCUGGGACGCGCUGCUGCACGCACCAGGCACCCCCCUGCACGCCCCCCCUGCCCCACAACUGCUGCCGCCCUGCAGGUCCCACGGCACGGGGGCACAGCCCCGUGGGAUGCAGCAGCGCAACAAAACCAGACCCGCAGCACCUUUUAUUCGUUUUUUAAUUGUAAUCCAAAUUGUAACACAGCCGUAAAAUGCUCCUAA
This 1284-nucleotide long non-coding RNA is filed under the name Cairina moschata (Muscovy duck). Its description in RNAcentral is "domestica (muscovy Duck (domestic type)) lncRNA (ENSCMMG00000005653.1)". Lineage: Eukaryota; Metazoa; Chordata; Aves; Anseriformes; Anatidae. The record is from RNAcentral.